RNAcentral lists this ribosomal RNA (281 nucleotides) under uncultured Staphylococcus sp. RNAcentral's name for it is "partial 16S ribosomal RNA". It matches the Rfam family "Bacterial small subunit ribosomal RNA", at positions 81 to 356 of the family's 1533-position model. Lineage: Bacteria; Bacillati; Bacillota; Bacilli; Caryophanales; Staphylococcaceae. The record is from RNAcentral.
CUCCUUUGACGUUAGCGGCGGACGGGUGAGUAACACGUGGGUAACCUACCUAUAAGACUGGGAUAACUUCGGGAAACCGGAGCUAAUACCGGAUAAUAUUUCGAACCGCAUGGUUCGAUAGUGAAAGGUGGUUUUGCUAUCACUUAUAGAUGGACCCGCGCCGUAUUAGCUAGUUGGUAAGGUAACGGCUUACCAAGGCGACGAUACGUAGCCGACCUGAGGGGGUGAUCGGCCACACUGGAACUGAGACACGGUCCAGACUCCUACGGGAGGCAGCAGCG